Nyctereutes procyonoides (raccoon dog) is the source of this 1589-nucleotide long non-coding RNA. RefSeq lists it as uncharacterized. Lineage: Eukaryota; Metazoa; Chordata; Mammalia; Carnivora; Canidae. The transcript is spliced from 3 exons. The record is from RefSeq and is a predicted model, not a curated record.
UGAAGUCAGGUGUCACACACAUACCAUUCCUCCACUAUUGGAGAUACUGCUGAGAACCCAAGAGGAGAAACAAGGCCUGAGCACUCAAAACAGCCCCCACUGAGCCUUGCAUGCAAAGCCCUGGAUAUGGGAAGAUGCAGAGACCGUCUCUCAACAUUCAAGCAGCUGGCAUUCUCACCACAGUUCCCAGUUGCUCUUUUUAAUCUGCCAGGUGGCUUAGAAAUGGAUGUCAAAGCAAGAGUUUCCUGCUUCUUGGGAGACACUGAGCAGCAACAAAUAAGCUGGAUGAGUUCACAAACAUGGUGAGACAGGGAAUAAGCUCUCCUCCCCACUCUAGCCUCCACCCCCAGCUUGAGGUUUUGCAUCCUUGCCACUUGAAGGCAUUUCCAGAAGUACUUCAAGCUGUUGGGCACAGAAUAUAUUCAUCCUGGCCUUCCCUGUCAUGAUUGUCCAGGCUCUGGCUCAGAGCAGGAGCUCCAUGGCUGAUGAACCAACCUCAUGACCUUCAAGCCACAUAUUCUUCUGUAAAUCAGCUGCUACCUGACCAAGGCCCAGAACAGUCACUGCCUGAGUCAUCUUGAGCAAUCUUGUAUUAACGGUGAACUACAGAGGUGCAGAAGAAUUUAAUCCAUAGUUGGAUGUGAACUCCAGCCUCUGGUAUGUAUGAUGACACGUGCCAUCUUUUAAAGCUUAUAGAACCCCCUAUUGUGCUUAAACACAAACACAAAGCAUUAGGAUUAGCAUUCAUAACAGAUAUGCCCACUUGGGUGCGAAAGAAGUGACUUAGUGACCAUUAGAAUUAGAACUCUCUGGUGAGGUGUGAGGACCAGUAGCCUCAGAUCACCUGGGAUCAAGGUAGAAAAACAUGUUCUUGGGCCUCCCCAGACGCACUGGAUCACAUCUGCACCCAUCUCCCCAUCCUGUAUCAUUUGGAAAUACAUUCAGUUUCAUCAGCAGAAGAUUUCUAUGAUAUUUUUUGGCAUUGAAAGUUGGCUUUGGUAAGCUUAUAUGUUAACAAUGGAAGGAUGACAGUUCAGAACAUGGGCCUGACUUUAGAUCUUGCUGCAUUAUCCAGAUGGCCUUCUGACUUCCCCAAGACUCAACUUCCUCAUCUGCAAAAUGGGAAUAAAAAGAGUGAUUUACUCGAGAAACCUGCUGUGGACAUUAAUUGAAAAUAUGCAUGUAGAAAUCUUGGGACUGAGUCCUUCCUACAUGUAAGCUAUUAUUAUCUUUGCAUCACCAAAAUAACAACCAUUUAUUAGGUGUUUACUGUGUGUUAAAUACUGGGCCAAGCACUUCAUACCACACUUGGAGAUAUCAUCAUCUUACCAAAGAGGAGACCGAAGGUCAGAGUGGGUCAAGAUCGUGGGUUGAGAUCUGGCUCCCCAAGGCUAGCAGGGCUUUUUCUAAGCCAUGUUACAUCCUGAGAGUUGGGGCAGAAUUUUGACAUGCGAGGUAAGGAGGGAAUAUAAUUUCUGUGUAUUAGGAUAUUAGCAUCAUGUCACACAGAGUAACCCCAGAAUUGCUUGUGCAAUUUAAUUUGCCUUUGCCAUGACUCGCCUUUGCCAGUGUAUAUUUAUCUUAUAGCU